UCCUGACUUUCGGAUUCUCAUCAUGUCGGAGACCGCUCCUGCCGCCCCCGCCGCCGCUCCCCCAGCGGAGAAGGCACCUGCGAAGAAGAAGGCUGCCAAGAAGCCUGCCGGGGCUCGCCGCAAGGCGUCCGGACCCCCGGUGUCCGAGCUCAUCACCAAGGCUGUAGCCGCCUCCAAGGAGCGCAGCGGCGUGUCCCUGGCCGCGCUCAAGAAGGCGCUGGCGGCCGCCGGCUACGACGUGGAGAAGAACAACAGCCGCAUCAAGCUGGGGCUCAAGAGCCUGGUGAGCAAGGGCACCCUGGUGCAGACCAAGGGCACCGGCGCCUCCGGCUCCUUCAAGCUCAACAAGAAGGCGGCUUCCGGCGAGGCCAAGCCCAAAGCCAAGAAGGCAGGCGCGGCCAAGGCUAAGAAGCCCGCGGGCGCAGCCAAGAAGCCCAAGAAGGCGACUGGUGCCGCCACGCCCAAGAAAGCCGCCAAGAAGACCCCGAAGAAAGCGAAGAAGCCCGCGGCUGCUGCCGUGACCAAGAAAGUGGCCAAGAGUCCAAAGAAGGCGAAGGUUGCCAAGGCCAAGAAGGUCAAGAGCGCGUCUAAGCCCGUGAAGCCGAAGGCUGCCAAGCCCAGGGUUGCUAAGCCCAAGAAGGUUGCAGCCAAGAAGAAGGUGCUUUAUGUGCUGAGUCUUUGGCGGGUGUUUGUGCCUCCGAGUGUGGGAGAAGGUCGGGUGCCGGCGCCGGUGAUCUGACUUCCUUUAAAGACCUGUAAGCGAUGGCUGCGGAAAGGGCCCGCCCGCCCAGUGAUGCCGGACCUGGGGCUGGUGUCUGGGUGUCAUUUUAGAUUGUCCUCGAACCGGCAUUGCCUCGGCUUCCCGAAAUGCAUAAGUUAUAGAUGCGUGUCGACUCCAAAGUCCGACCUCGCAUGCAUACUUACUGAGGCUUCUUGCUAUGCUCUGUGCAGUCCAACAUAUUUAAGUAAAGAGUAAAUUCCUGGCUAUCUGUUGAAGAUGUAUUGGGCUACUUCUAA
Molecule: RNA transcript, 1017 nt
Organism: Onychomys torridus (southern grasshopper mouse)
Lineage: Eukaryota; Metazoa; Chordata; Mammalia; Rodentia; Cricetidae
Gene: H1-2
Gene name: H1.2 linker histone, cluster member
Exons: 3
Source: RefSeq, a predicted model, not a curated record